GCUGAAGCCUCUUCAACUCUCUGUACAGUAUUCUCUUCGGCUUCCUCAGACUUUUUCUCCAUCUGGAAACGUGAUGAAAAAUGUAGAACUCGUCAAGAGG
Long non-coding RNA from Ornithodoros turicata, 100 nucleotides. RefSeq lists it as uncharacterized. Lineage: Eukaryota; Metazoa; Arthropoda; Arachnida; Ixodida; Argasidae. The record is from RefSeq and is a predicted model, not a curated record. The transcript is spliced from 3 exons.